Molecule: long non-coding RNA, 683 nt
Filed under: Brassica rapa (field mustard)
Lineage: Eukaryota; Viridiplantae; Streptophyta; Magnoliopsida; Brassicales; Brassicaceae
Description: long non-coding RNA (BRAP_LNC006940)
Source: RNAcentral
UUCGACUUUAACUAAAUUGAUAAGAAAUAUAUAAAAUAAAUUAUACAUAAUCAAUCGAUAUUAUUACAAAAUGUAUUCACAAACACAUGAUAUAAUGAAUAAAUCCAAUAAAAAUAACAAUCUCAGAAAAUUUGUUUCUUGAUCUCGAGGUCAAGCUACAAGACGGACCAAUACGAAUCAAAAUCAAGAACGGACUAUUGUCUCGAAGCAGUGGAGACCGUCGAGCUCCAGAGCAAACCUCGGAGUCUUCUGCACCAAACUUAUCUUAUUGCUUGCGUUUUCCUCCUUCUGCGUCUGCGUUUGCAGUACGGCAGGUUUGGGGUGGCGGUGGAGCUAGCGUUAAGCGAAGAAACCAUACUUGAUCUCGAGGUCAAGCUACAAGACGGACCAAUACGAAUCAAAAUCAAGAACGGACUAUUGUCUCGAAGCAGUGGAGACCGUCGAGCUCCAGAGCAAACCUCGGAGUCUUCUGCACCAAACUUAUCUUAUUGCUUGCGUUUUCCUCCUUCUGCGUCUGCGUUUGCAGUACGGCAGGUUUGGGGGUGGCGGUGGAGCUAGCGUUAAGCGAAGAAACCAUAAGGUUCUUUCCCAUAAGCUCUACGAAGAGGGCGUCGAAGGCACUGAACAUCGAGUUCAUGAUGUAAAGUAAGAUAAUAAACAAGACCAAGAGACUUUGAAGUUUC